This 344-nucleotide ribosomal RNA is filed under the name uncultured bacterium. RNAcentral's name for it is "bacterial SSU rRNA". It matches the Rfam family "Bacterial small subunit ribosomal RNA", at positions 542 to 888 of the family's 1533-position model. The record is from RNAcentral.
UAUCCGGAUUUAUUGGGUUUAAAGGGAGCGUAGGCGGGUGCUUAAGUCAGUUGUGAAAGUUUGCGGCUCAACCGUAAAAUUGCAGUUGAUACUGGGUACCUUGAGUGCAGCAUAGGUAGGCGGAAUUCGUGGUGUAGCGGUGAAAUGCUUAGAUAUCACGAAGAACUCCGAUUGCGAAGGCAGCUUACUGGACUGUAACUGACGCUGAUGCUCGAAAGUGUGGGUAUCAAACAGGAUUAGAUACCCUGGUAGUCCACACAGUAAACGAUGAAUACUCGCUGUUGGCGAUACACAGUCAGCGGCAAAGCGAAAGCAUUAAGUAUUCCACCUGGGGAGUACGCCGG